UACGAAGGGGGCUAGCGUUGCUCGGAAUCACUGGGCGUAAAGGGUGCGUAGGCGGGUUUUUAAGUCAGAGGUGAAAUCCUGGAGCUCAACUCCAGAACUGCCUUUGAUACUGAAAGUCUUGAGUAUGGGAGAGGUGAGUGGAACUGCGAGUGUAGAGGUGAAAUUCGUAGAUAUUCGCAAGAACACCAGUGGCGAAGGCGACUCACUGGCCCAUUACUGACGCUGAGGCGCGAAAGCGUGGGGAGCAAACAGG
Molecule: ribosomal RNA, 253 nt
Filed under: uncultured bacterium
Lineage: Bacteria
Description: partial 16S ribosomal RNA
Rfam family: Bacterial small subunit ribosomal RNA
Source: RNAcentral